This 698-nucleotide long non-coding RNA is filed under the name Piliocolobus tephrosceles (Ugandan red Colobus). RNAcentral describes it as "lncRNA (ENSPTEG00000001424.1)". The record is from RNAcentral. Lineage: Eukaryota; Metazoa; Chordata; Mammalia; Primates; Cercopithecidae.
AAAAAAAAAAAAAAAAAAAAAAAAAAAAAAAAAAAAAAAAAAAAAAAAAAAAAAAAAAAAAAAAAAAAUGAAAGAAAUGAAAGAAAUAAAACAUGCUGAUGUAAAACAUUUUUUGGAUACCUACUACACAGGCCAAAUAUUAACUAUAAAAGGUAAAAAAGAAAUUAAUCAAUUUAGUACAAAAUACUAUGUUAGUGAUAUACAUGCAGGUUUACCUACAUUUUUAAAUGCAAAAUUGAAUAUAGAUUUUUUAUUGAAACAUUUUAAUUGUAAGGAAAUAGAAGAAGAUAAUAAAAUAGAAAAGGUUUAUAAUCAGGACCAUAUAAUACAGUCAUAUAAUAAUGAUAAUAUACAUAUCAUGAUAUGUAAUGGAUAUACAUAUAUAGAUAAUGAGUAUAAUGAUAAUUUAGAUAGUUUUUUAAAAAUUGUAAAUGAAAAAUUACCACAUGUAGUUAUUAUUUUAGGUCCCUUUUUAUAUAUUCGUAGUAAUGAGACCAUACAAAAAAUUGGUGAUAUUAAUGUUAUAUAUGAAUCUAUUUUUAAUAAAAUUAUAAAAGUAGCAAAAAAAGAAUCUUUAGAAAAAACACAGUUUUAUAUAAUACCAUCUUUAUAUGAUCCAAUUAAUAUUUAUCCACUACCCCAACCUCCUUUUUUUUAUGAACAAAAUUAUAAUAAUAUGAACUUACAAAAUGUACAUU